Molecule: ribosomal RNA, 214 nt
Filed under: uncultured bacterium
Lineage: Bacteria
Description: partial 16S ribosomal RNA
Rfam family: Bacterial small subunit ribosomal RNA
Source: RNAcentral
CUGAACAAUGUGUGAUAGGGUGGUAGAAUUCAGGUGUACGGUGAAAUGCGUAGAGAUCUGAAGGAAUCCGAUGGCGAAGGCAGCCACCUGGGUCAACACUGACGCUCAUGUACGAAAGCGUGGGGAGCAAACAGGAUUAGAUACCCUGGUAGUCCACGCCGUAAACGAUGUCUACUAGAAGCUCGGAACCUCGGUUCUGUUUUUCAAACGUAAC